GACAGAGGUGCCAAGCGUUAGGCGGAAUCACUGGGCUUAAAGCGUGUGUAGGCGGACUUCUAAGUACCUUGUGAAAUCCCACGGCUCAACCGUGGAACUGCUCGGUAUACUGGGGGUCUUGAGCCACUUAGGGGUCGUCGGAACAAACGGUGGAGCGGUGAAAUGCGUAGAUAUCGGAAAGAACACCAACGGCGAAAGCACUCUGCUGGGCCGACACUGACACUGAGAGACGAAAGCUAGGGGAGCAAACAGG
This 253-nucleotide ribosomal RNA is filed under the name uncultured bacterium. Its description in RNAcentral is "partial 16S ribosomal RNA". It matches the Rfam family "Bacterial small subunit ribosomal RNA", at positions 524 to 776 of the family's 1533-position model. The record is from RNAcentral.